UACGUAGGGUGCAAGCGUUAAUCGGAAUUACUGGGCGUAAAGCGUGCGCAGGCGGUUUUGUAAGCCUGUCGUGAAAGCCCCGGGCUCAACCUGGGAAUUGCGAUGGAGACUGCAAGGCUUGAAUCUGGCAGAGGGGGGUAGAAUUCCACGUGUAGCAGUGAAAUGCGUAGAGAUGUGGAGGAACACCGAUGGCGAAGGCAGCCCCCUGGGUCAAGAUUGACGCUCAUGCACGAAAGCGUGGGGAGCAAACAGG
RNAcentral lists this ribosomal RNA (253 nucleotides) under uncultured bacterium. Its description in RNAcentral is "partial 16S ribosomal RNA". It matches the Rfam family "Bacterial small subunit ribosomal RNA", at positions 524 to 776 of the family's 1533-position model. The record is from RNAcentral.